UGGGGAAUUUUGACAAUGGGCGAAAGCCUGAUCCAGCAAUGCCGCGUGUGUGAAGAAGGCCUUCGGGUUGUAAAGCACUUUUGUCCGGAAAGAAAUCCUUGGCUCUAAUACAGUCGGGGGAUGACGGUACCGGAAGAAUAAGCACCGGCUAACUACGUGCCAGCAGCCGCGGUAAUACGUAGGGUGCAAGCGUUAAUCGGAAUUACUGGGCGUAAAGCGUGCGCAGGCGGUUUGCUAAGACCGAUGUGAAAUCCCCGGGCUCAACCUGGGAACUGCAUUGGUGACUGGCAGGCUAGAGUAUGGCAGAGGGGGGUAGAAUUCCACGUGUAGCAGUGAAAUGCGUAGAGAUGUGGAGGAAUACCGAUGGCGAAGGCAGCCCCCUGGGCCAAUACUGACGCUCAUGCACGAAAGCGUGGGGAGCAAACAGGAUUAGAUACCCUGGUAGUCCACGCCCUAAACGAUGUCAACUAGUUGUGGGGAUUCAUUUCCUUAGUAACGUAGCUAACGCGUGAAGUUGACCGCCU
This 524-nucleotide ribosomal RNA is filed under the name uncultured bacterium. Its description in RNAcentral is "partial 16S ribosomal RNA". It matches the Rfam family "Bacterial small subunit ribosomal RNA", at positions 355 to 874 of the family's 1533-position model. The record is from RNAcentral.